UCAUAAUUUUCUUUUAAUUUGUGCAUAUGCCCUUGUCUAGCAUUCAAAAUCUUUGCUUCAAAUCUUAUUACAUAUUUAUUCUUUUGUUCAUCAUCUUAUCAAACCAUCCAACCUAUUCUAAUUGGAUUAAUAUUAAUCAUCAAUAUUAUGAGCCUCUCUGAAUCAUAAUUAAUCUUUCUCAAAGUUGGUGGUGAAGAAAGAAGUUUCUUCAACUUUUUCAUUGCUUUACUUUACUCAAUGUUCUAUUGAUAUUUAAACCUCUUCCUUAAGAAUCAAUAUAAUGGUUCCACUAUAUGUGCAAAAUGUGGAAUUUAAAUGUAGUAAAAAAUACGUGAUCCCAAAAACCUUCAAACCUUUAAUAUAUUUGAAUAUUCUUUCAUCUUUUGAAUUAUAUUUAUUUUUUCUAUUGAUGGCUUGCAUCUAUACGGUCCAUAUACAUGUCC
Molecule: long non-coding RNA, 443 nt
Filed under: Physcomitrium patens
Lineage: Eukaryota; Viridiplantae; Streptophyta; Bryopsida; Funariales; Funariaceae
Description: long non-coding RNA (PPAT_LNC005636)
Source: RNAcentral